GUUGAACUGGGUCAUGGAUGUAGAGAAUAUAAAUGCCCGUUAAAGCAAGAGCUCUUGUGUUUCUGUUCCUGUGGAGUGCAGCUGAAAUGACCGCUACUGCUCCUUCACAGUAUAUUUACAUGAGCUUCCUGUGGACAUCAGCACCAUUUAAAAUUAAGGCUGGAACACAGAUGUGGGGCUGGAAGUGGAGCAGCCCCUUUUAGCCAUGAGGCCCAAAGCCACAUGCUAAGGAUGGUGAAGCAGGGGAUAGAAAGAGCCUGUGUCUUUGCUGACUUCCUUAAGCCACGGCACCAGCCUGGGCCUGCCCUACUCUGGACAUCUAAAUGUCAGGAGCUAAGAAUCAAGUCAGUCUAGAGGUGUUCGUUGCCAUGUGGAGAGAUCCUUCCCAAGAAGAAAGAUGCUACAAAGUGUCCUGGAAAUCCUCUUUGCCCAUCCAGAUCCACCCUCCCUAGCCUGCUCUGUACCUCAGGAAGCUGCUUUUCAUGGUUCACAUAAACCAGGCUCCUGUACCCUCCAGAUAGGUCCAUCCUAUGGGUGGUACCAGCAGGAGACCAGAGAGAUGAAGGAGGGAAAAAAAGAACAUUAGGGGUUGAAUUGUAUCACCCCAAAAUUCAUAUGGUGAAGUAUAACCCCUUCGGAAUGUAACCUUAUUGGAAAUGUCAGAGGCACGUGAACCAGAGCAACUCCAUCUUGAAUAGGGGCUGGGUAAAAUGAGGCUGAGACC
Molecule: long non-coding RNA, 724 nt
Filed under: Homo sapiens (human)
Lineage: Eukaryota; Metazoa; Chordata; Mammalia; Primates; Hominidae
Description: HSALNT0384874
Source: RNAcentral